GACCACCCGGAGUGGUUGGCCGGCAGAGCGCGGUAAAAAAUCUCAUUUGGACAGAUUGAGUCGGGCACAACUGACCCAACUUUUCUUAGCCUCAGUCCUGGAAUGCCCUUUCUAUGAGGGUCCAAAACUCCUUUCUAAAUAUCAAGUGAAGUCAUUUCUUACCCCAUGCUUUUCCCUGGAGACCCCUGUGGAUUCUCAGCUUUAUAGAUAUGUGAAGAUCGGGCUGACUAACCUUUUAGGAGCAAGAUUAUAUUUUGCUCCAAAAGUGUUGACACCCUAUUGUUAUACAAUAGAUGUUGAAAUUAAAUUAGAUGAAGAAGGAUUUGUAUUGCCAUCCACAGUUAAUGAAGAUAUCCAUAAAAGGAUAGCACUAUGUAUUGAUGAUCCAAAAAGGUUUUGCUCCAAUAGCAAACACUUACUGGGAAAAGAAGCUAUUAAACAAAGACACCUACAGUUACUUGGUUAUCAAGUUGUUCAGAUCCCCUAUCAUGAGAUUGGGAUGCUAAAAUCAAGACGUGAAUUGGUGGAAUAUUUACAAAGAAAACUGUUUUCUCAAAACACUGUUCAUUAGUCACAAGAAUGAAUACUGACUUCAGAACUCAAAAAAAUGAAAGAACUUGCAUUUUUAUGGAACUCAG
Molecule: small RNA, 638 nt
Filed under: Pongo abelii (Sumatran orangutan)
Lineage: Eukaryota; Metazoa; Chordata; Mammalia; Primates; Hominidae
Description: processed transcript
Source: RNAcentral